CAACUCUCAAGCUCUGCUUGGCAUUGGGUGUCACCUCGCAAUUGUGGUGCAUCUCAAAAUCAGUGGUGGUGCCAUCUAGCCCCCGAGUGUAGUAAAAUUUCUCGCUUUGGAGGCUGUGAUAUACGCUAGCCAGCAACAAAUCUUUAAU
This 148-nucleotide unclassified non-coding RNA is filed under the name uncultured Ascomycota. RNAcentral describes it as "sequence contains ITS2". The record is from RNAcentral. Lineage: Eukaryota; Fungi; Ascomycota.